This is a long non-coding RNA of Mesoplodon densirostris (Blainville's beaked whale), 8293 nucleotides long. RefSeq lists it as uncharacterized. The record is from RefSeq and is a predicted model, not a curated record. The transcript is spliced from 2 exons. Lineage: Eukaryota; Metazoa; Chordata; Mammalia; Artiodactyla; Ziphiidae.
GGUCGGGGGGUUGGUUGUUCCUUGUUCCGUACGCCACGGUCGAGGGAGGAACCGGGCCCAGAGGGGGGUUGGGGAAGUGGCCCAAACCUGCCAGCCAACCUAGCCCCCGGGUCCAGCCUCCGCCUGAGACCCAUCUUGGUCCUCAGCGUUCUACACGUUUCUGCUUCACCCUCCCCCCAGUUCCGUCGGGAAGUCGGAAUCUCCAGAUCUGCUUCUCUGUAUAGGACUGUCGGUGAUCCGGCUGGAGACCUUGAGGUAAAUCAGCAUCAGUCUAGGGGCCUUGGUGCCCCGACUCGGAUCCCUGGAUUCAAGGUAGAUCACGGGCCUUGCCCAGCUGCGCCUGGAGACCGCUGGCUUCUCCCUCUCUCUGCCUCUUUUCUUUUGUAAGGCACCCCUCUUUGGCGGGAAGCUGGGAUUUUGCGCCAUUUGGGGAAAGGAUUUCUUGAACCUUAUUCCUAAACUGCUCCUGCGACAUUGCCAAAUCCAGUGCUAUGUCGGGUAGAAUUCACAGGACUCUUAAGGUUUUAUUUUUGUUACCAAGAAAGCAGGGUGAAUGACUUUGGACUCUUCUGUUGCCUAGUCUGUCUCUACCGACACUCCUUUGCCCUCGUGCUACCUUCCAUUGCGCCCAACUCCAGUAAUCCCACUCUGUGCAGCUCCUGUAAUCAGAGACCUGGGGAAUCAGAGAAUCCUCCCGUUAUUCUAGAUAGACAAUCUUUUCUUAACUACAUCCCAACUCUUAAGGGGGAAACAGAGCCCUUUCUACGCUACAAGUACCUGUACUUCUCCGGAUUCCCUUGGCCAAUCCCAAACCCUUCUUCCCUAUGCUCUUCUGUACCCAACGAUACCCCAGGUUGAAAAUGCUGGUCCUGCUGGAGUAAGCCAUAGUGGAACUUCCUAUCACCCAGGAUCAGGGAGAAUAUGCCCACUUAGGGAAGUGGCAAAUGGCAAAGGCACAAUCAAGAUUACAUGCGCCCUUCUUAAUCGAUUUAGCCCAUUGCAAACAUAGACUGGGCCAAUUUUCUGAAGACCCUAGUAGCUUCACGGGGGAUUUCAGGCCCUAACCCUGGCCCUUGAUUUAACUUGGAAGGACGUCCAAAUGGUCUUACCUACCUCCUGUACCCAUGAGGAGAAGCAGAGGGUAUGGGCAGCAGCACAGGUGUACGCUGACCAGUUUGCCAGGGACCAGCCCGACAUUUAUGCUGUUCGGGAUGCAGUCCCAAAUCAUAUAAACCCAUUUGGGAUUAUAAUUGCCUGGGGAGGAAAGGCCAGGAAACACAAGGUCCAGUGCCUAUUAGAAGGAACGAGAAAGUGCAUUUGGAAGCCAGUCAACUAUGAAAAGGUCAAGGAAGUGACCCAAGAGGAAGAAGAAAGCCCUGUUCUCUUUCAGGGACAGCUUGUGGAGGCUUUUUAGAAAAUUUGCUAACAGAUCUCUCUGCUCCCAAGGUUCAGUCCUUGCUGCCCCUGAUGUUAGGCAAAAACUGCAAAAGUUACAGUUAGGCCCACAAACUCCUAGAGCUGGCCUUUGGAAUAUUUAAUGGAUAUCAAACUGAGGAAGAGGAUAGAACUCAACAUGGAAAAAGGCAGGCCAAAGCUCAAGCUAAACUGAUAGCUGUUGCUGUCAGCCAUGCCUUGCAACCUCAGGGCAACCCAAAGGGGGCAGGAAGGUUGAACCAUCAGUCCAGAGGCGAGACCAAGGGGGAAUGCUUCAAAUGCAAGUCACCUGGCCAUUGGGCCCAUGAGUACCAGAAGAAGCUCCCGGCCCUUGCCCAGUCUGCAAACAGACCAGUCAUUGGAGAUGGGACUGCCCUUGGUCCCCAAGGGGAAUGGGGGCUCCUGCUCCUGCUCCUGAGAUGGCCAUGCUGGAUGACUGAAGCAACCCAGGGAUUCUGGCGGCUCCCCCCGCCCCGACCCCACAAGAUGUCUUAUCUCCCUUGAGGAGCCCCUGGUGGCAGGUAAGAUCAAUUUUUUAAAUUGAUACAGGAGCCACUUACUCUGACCUGAUUUUUCACGCUGGGCCUCUUUCCUCUAAAAGCUGCAGUGACUGGUGUUAAUGGAAAGCCUUGUACCCUUCACUUCACUGGGGCUCUCACUUACCAUUUUGAACAUGCCUUUUUAGUUGAGUGUCCUACCCCACUACUAGGGAGAGAUCUUUUGGGCUCCCUCAAGGCGAUAUUACUGUUAGGAGGCCCCGAGCAGAGCAGCCCCUUAUCUUAACCCUGGCUAAGGCAGAUCAACACAAGAGCAAGGGCUUGUUCCCAGCGAUAUUCUACAAGCAGUGAACCCUGCAGCAAACUGGACAAAGGGGAGUCCCUGGGAGGGCUAUAAAUGCCCAACCUGCAGAAACUAGCCUUAAGCCAGAAGCUGCUUACCCUAACCAGAGACAGUAUCCCAUUAGGUUAGAGGCAAAAGGGGGGUUACAACCCCUCAUACAUAAAUUCUUAAAAUAUGGCCUCUUGGUUCCCUGUCAGUCUCAAUGCAAUUCUCCUAUUCUGUCAGUUAAGCCUCAUGGGGGGAUAUAGGGUGGUGCAAGACCUCAACAGUAAGAGGCAGUGGUUCCUAUACUCCCCCUUGUGGCCAAUUCUUAUAAGAUACUAGCCCAAAUCCUUGAAAAUGGUAAAUGGUUUACUGUGCUCGACUUUACGGAUGCCUUCUUUUACAUCCCAGUUCAUCCCUCACAAUAUUUGUUUGCCUUCGAGUGGACUAACCCCCACUCGGGCCAAAUGCAACAAUACACCUGGACAGCACUACCUACCACGGGUUUGGGCACAGCUCACAGUGUUUGCCCAGGCCCUAGGAAGGGAACCAAGGGGAAAUAGGCCUAAAAGGGGCUAUGCUACAGUAUGCAGAUGAUAUAUUAACAUGUAGCCCCACCGUGGAGGCUCAAGUGAGAACAUCAUUGAAGUUCUUAAUUUCCUUGAGGUCCAGGAUUACAGGGUCUCCCAGAAAAAGGCACAAAUCUCAAUGCAACAAGUUAAGUACAUGGGACACGUUAUAAACCCUGGAAGUAGACAGCUGUCGCAAGAUAGAAAAGUGUUAGGCCUAAGUGCCCCAAAGACGUUUCUUUGUACCUUUUUACAAAGGUAAAAAGGCAGGGUUUUGCUGACUCUGGAUCCCAGGGUUUGGGCUAAUGUCUAAGCUCCUAUAUGAAGCUAUUAAAAGCCCAGAUACAGAACCAUAACAUUGGGCUGAGGAACACAGGAAAAGGCUUUUAAUAGUAUCAAACAGGUCCUCAUUAAAGCUCCUGCUCUGGGUCUCCUCAGUUUUAAAAAGCCAUUCAUUUUGUAAGAAGUCCUAACCCCCUAAAAGCUCUGGGGGUCCUAAAAGAAACUAGAAGUUCCUCAGCCAAUAGGCUAUUUUUCCACACAACUAGAUGAUGUGCCCCAAGGUUGGCCUGGCUGCUUUCGGCCAGCAGCUGCCACCACUUUAUCAGUGGAAGAAGCUAACAAGCUUACCUUGGACAGCCACUGAAGUCCAGACCCCUGCCCCCCAACAUCAAGUACAAAGGACACUAGAGAUCAGAGGCCACCGUACUAAGUACCAGCGUUUACUUCUUGACUCCCAAGAGGUAACCCUCAAAACUCCCAACACUGAGAAAAACGGAACCCUCUUAACACUGUUGGUGGGAAUGUAAAUUGGUGCAGCCACUAUGGAAAACAGUAUGGAGGUUCCUAAAACUACAGUUGCCAUAGGAUCCUGCGAUCCCACUCCUGGGCAUAUACCCAGACAUUUGAAAAGAUACAUGCACCCCAGUGUUCACUGCAGCACUAUUUGCAACAACCAAGACCCGGAAACCUAAAGGUCCAGUAGAGUAGUGGAUAAAGAUGUAGAUAUAUACAAUGGAAUACUACUUAGCCAUUAAAAAGAACGAAAUAAUGCCAUUUGCAGCAACAUGGAUGGACCUAGAAAUACUAAGCGAAGUAAGUUAGACAUACCAUAUAUCAUUUAUUUGUGGAAUCCAAACUACAGCACAAAGGAACAUCUGUGAAACAAAAAUAGGCUCAAGACAGAGAAAAGACUUGUGGCCUGGGGGAGGGAAGGACUAGGAGUUUGGGGUAGAUGCAAACUAAUACAUAGGAUAGAUAAACAACAGGGUCGUACUAUAUAGCACAAGAAACUAUUCGGUAUCUUGUAAUAAACCAUAAUGGAAAAGAUGGAAAAAUAUAUACAUAUAACAAUCACUUUGCUGUACACCAGAAACUAACAACAUUGUAAAUCAACUCUACAUUAAUAAAAUUUAAAAAUUGCCACACCCUCAAACCAACUACACUGAUGCCUGCUGAAGUCCCAAAGGUAAUACAUUCCUACCUUGACCAGGUUUGUCCCUAUAGGCCUCAUGACAGAUCAAGACUUGACAAUCCUGAGGAAGAAUGGUUUACUGAUCGCAGUUCAUUAAGGACGGGCUCAGGAGGGCAGAGCAUCAUAGAGGUGAAAACUUUGUGCUGCCCAACGUGGCAGCCCAGAAGGCCGAACUCUAACCCAAGCCUUAACCCUAGGGGAAGGAAAAAUUAUAUACACAGGCUCUGUGUAUGCCUACCUCUACAUGCCAAUGGAGCCAUAUGGAAACAGGACUUGAAUGCAAAAAACUCCCCUGUAAAGUAUGGGGCUGAGAUCUCACAGAGGCAGCUCAAAAACCAAACAAAUCAAGUAACAGUCAUUCACUGCCAUGGACACCAAAAGGGAAUCUCCCAAAUUAUCAAAGGGAACAACAGGGCAGAUGGAGAAGCAGAGAAAGCGGUCUUGAUACAACAAAUGACAUUAAUUCCAUCCCUUACCCCUUCUAACAUGCCCAGGUACUCCUGAGGAAACCUGGGCGCAAGAAAAAGGGUGAACUAAGGGAACAGAAGUCUGGUGGCACAUCAAUCGCUUUUUCUGACCAAUGGAAAAUUCAAGGGCUACGUGAUUUUUCUCCAUCUGGGGAAGGAUACUAUGUCUACAGUGCUUUUCUGGCUUUUAAGGAGAAAAUGACUCCCAGAUAUGAUCAAAUGGUUACUCGAGCCUGUGCCCUCUGUGCCACCCAUAAUAAGGAGGCCAUCUCAAGCCCCUCCCCUGCCUUUUGUGAGCCCAGUCCAGCAACAUGGGCCUUAGCCAGGAGAGGACUGGCAAAUGGAUUUCACUCAGGUGGCUUCUUUCCAGGGCUUCAAAUAUUAGUCUUUGUGGGUAGUUUUACUGGAUGGGUGGAGGCCUUUCCCACUAGCACAGAAAAGGCAACUGAAGUGGCUAGAGCGCUUCUGAAGGCAAUUAUCCCUAGGUUUGGGUUGCCCUGACACCUCCAGAUUGACAGUGGACCCUCAAUUCAUAGCAAAGGUUACCCAAAAGACCCUAGGAAAUAGAUACUACCUUUAUUUGUCCUGCAGACCUCAGUCCUCAGGAAAGGUGGAACAGCCAAAUAAUACCCUAAAGAAAACCUUGGGUAAGCUCUUGUCAUUAAAUAGCAGAACCUGAUAAUAGCAGGGGUACCACCUGCUGCCAGCAACUCUUUAGGGGCAGCCCCUAAAACAACUAGGUUGAGCCCCUUUGAAAUGACAUAUGGUAGGCUAUUCCUCACCCUGGACAUGGUAACCAGCUUAGAAACCUAGGCACACCUUAAAUACAUUAACCUGGGCCAGGUCCGAAGGGGGCUAUUCAAGAAUAUGGAAACAGUUCACCUCUCCCCCAGAUAACAGCCCCAGUUACUCCAUUGUAAACCCUGGGUACUGGGACCUGGAAAAAUGAGUCCUCUGGUGACCAGGUACUCCCAAAGCAAGAGUCUUGAUCAAGUUUUGCUAAGCACCCCUACAGCGGUUAAACUUAAUGGAGUCACUAGUUGCGUCCAUCUACCCAGAAUUAAACCUGCUUCCACUGAUCUGUUACAGGAACCUGAAGACCCACAUCCCAGCUAUUCCCGUGAACCUGCCCAAGACCUCAAAUAUCUCUUCAAGAAGGUGACCCCCAAGCCAGUGACAACCGCAUUGAUAAGUAAACUCUCACUCUGACAGUAAUUAAUUUGGGGCUCUCCGGGUAACAAAAGCAAGAUAAAUGACAGUAGGCUGGGAGCCCGUAUUUGCUACUGGGCUCUUGUUUACUGCAGGAUUUCUUUUAACGCUACUUGCAUUCCGGUUGCUUCCUAAAUUAGAAUUCUGAUUGAUGUCAUUAUGAAGUUAUUAGUCACCCUAACUUUUCUCUUCCUCCUCUGGGGAUUCAUGUCAGGGGAGUGAGGAUCCAACGCAAUAGUAAAUCUCUCAAGAAUUAUUGCAGGACUUCCCUAGUGGCGUAGUGGAUAAGACUCCACACUCCCAAUGCAGGGGGCCUGGGUUCGAUCCCUGGUCAGGGAAUUAGAUCCCACGUGCAUGCCACAACUAAGGAGCUGGCAAGCUGCAACUAAGGACCCCUGGAGCUGCAACUAAGGAGCCCGCCUGCCACAACUAAGACCCGGUUCAACCAAAUAUAUAAAUAUUUUUUUUAAAAUUAUUGCUCAGGGAGAGAAUCUGUCUCAGUGCUGGGUCUACCGUCCCAAUCCUCAAAGCGACGCCUAUCAGCUUAAAGAACUAAGCUACAUACCCAGUAAUGAUGACCUUGAACUUAACUCUGGCUGAAGGUCCUGCGACCCCUGCUCCCCUCAGAGUCCACAUCCAGCCCUUGGCACAGCUUCCAUGCCUGGACCUGACCCCUCUCGUUAGUGCAUCCAGCACACAAAGCUACCCCCAUCAAAGCAUAUUUGUUUUGUACUCCGUCAUAAAGGUAACUCAUCUUGCUGCCCAUGCCAGGAGCCUGGAACUAAAUUCUGCAAUGCACCAGCAGUUGACAUCACCACCAUUACCCAUAAUUUUAAUUGCGAAGAUCAAACAGGCAAUGCCACCCAUUGGUUCCUCCAAGAUCAGUUGGCCGGUGGGAUGUGUCUCCUGGACAGGCCUGGCGCCAAGCGUCUAACACACAUCUUCCUUGCAUGAGGUACAUGUUUUUUGCCUCUCCCAAAGCCUUCGAGAAGACUCAUACACCCUUAUUCAGUGGUGGGAUCCUCUCCUCCAACUGUACCGGAACCCCCACCUUGGGCAGACUCUGCUGAAGUAGUUUAAUUCCACAACAGUACGUCAGGCAUGUGCCCCUCCCAGACAUCUAUUCCUUUGUGGUCCAGGUGCAAACUGACUGUCCUCUUCAAAAAAAACCCAAUUCCUCUUUCCCUUUCCUGGGAUUAGCUGUGGCCUUUCCUUGUAUAGACAGUGCUCUGUUUACAGGACAGUGUAACACUAGUAAUCAAACAAACCCAGGGAUUGCCAUCUAUAAUAUCACCCACCCCUGGGGCAAAAGGGCAAUUGUCCUCCUUUCAGCAGGAAAUGGAGCUGCCGUUGGUUUGGUGGCCCCUUGGGAGGCUUUGUUUAUCAUGAAGUGGUGCUCCACAAUCUUUCAGAAGCCCUGUCCUGAGUGAAUCCACAGGGAAUGCACUCACCAGACUCUCAUUGUCUCUAAGUUCCUUGGCUAGUAAAGUGAUGGCUAAUAGACUGGCCUUGGACUUCCUCCUAGCCAAACAAGGAGGAGUAUGUGCAGUUCUCAGUAAGACAUGUUGCACCUACAUCAAUAACACUGGGCUAGUAGAAGAGAACGUCAAGAAAAUGUGACCACGCCAAAUGACUUCACUCCUUCAGACAGGGUAACCCAAGCGCUGACCUAGACUGCAAUUAAGGAGAUGUUACCAAGUGUGACCUAGUUCUUAGCCCCUGCUUGGGCCUCUAGUUGCCAUAACCCUUUUACUGAACUUUGGCCCCUGCCUUUUUAAUCUGCUUGUUAAGUUUGCUUCCAGGUUGCAACAAUUCCACAUCAAGAUGAUGGUGAUGCAGGGAUUCCAGCCAUUCCCUGACAUAGAUCCUACUGGAAUAACAGCAGAAGUCACCCUGGGGCCCCUGGACAAGAUAGGGCAAGAGUUCCGUGGCCCCAGUUAGGUAGGGUCCACGAGCCCAGUGCCAGCCUGCAGAAGCUACAGAAGACAGACCUCUGCCUCACAUCCUCCCAAUAAAGAGUUCUUGGGGUCCACGUCACUUGGGAGAUUUGAGGUAAGAGAAAGGUGGCUGAGCAGCUGCAACCAUUCUCCUGCUGACACUUCAAGAUAAGGUAUUAGCAGGAGCUUCGGGUCCUGACUGGGUGGAAGACAAAGCGACUACAGUUUCCUCAUUCUUGUGGUCAAGGGGAUUUUCCAGCCCAACACAUCUGUUUCACAGUCUUGGUCUCUUCUGGAUUCUUCGUCUCGUUGGAUUCUUUCCUCAAAGAAGACAUCUGUAAGUCUCUGAAGUGCUCAGCAAUAAAGCAAAGGUGGUGAGUU